Molecule: long non-coding RNA, 1238 nt
Filed under: Mus pahari (shrew mouse)
Lineage: Eukaryota; Metazoa; Chordata; Mammalia; Rodentia; Muridae
Description: predicted gene 43579 (MGP_PahariEiJ_G0003171.1)
Source: RNAcentral
ACGCAGUUAUGUUUAUUACAUUAAAACUCAAUGCUGGGUCAGAGGGAUCCACACGGCUGCUCUGAUCUCUGAACCCUGAAGGCGUGGAAACAGAAGCCGCUGUGACUUGCAGGGUCAGGACUUGGUCUGCCUGCUUUGCAUAGCUAGACUCCUAUGCAUCCUUUCAGAGGUCACCCACUGUCCCAGUCAAAAGCAGCCUUUGCUUUCUGUGGCCAUACGGCACUGCUCCUCAACAGAGCAGCUCCUGUGGAAGGAUCUUCCAACAGCACAUGGACAUAUGUCCCUGACGUCCACACCCGGGCUACCAGGGCUGAGUCUGGCUCCUCACAUCCUUUUCCUCAUCUUGCCCUUCCUGGAGGGAGCACCCCUGCCGAAGGCACCCUGGCGCAGCUCCUGGGCUCGGCGGCGGUUGCGUGCUGAAAGUUGCUUCAGGCCCCCUCGCUGCAGGAAGCGCUGCUUCUGGGCUUGCCGGCGCUGCUUGAGGAUCUGCUCCUUGGUCUUGAGUUCUGAGCGCAUGCGGCCUGCGGGUACACUGGAAGCUCGGGGCUGGGAUGCACCUGUCAACACAGGGAUUUGGGGGGAGCUCAGCCUUGGAUCCAUGUUCAUCCCUGCGCCUCGCCGUGCCUGGCUUUCUCCCUGUCCACACCAUACCACCUGCCCUGCCCACCUUGACUACGACCUCGCUUUCCACCUCUGCGGGGCCCAGGGCCUCGCUGGUUGAAUGGCCCUUCUUCCUCGGAGUCCCGGUCAUCAAUUUUCUGCUUCUGCUUCCACUUCUGGUAGCUGAAAGCUUCAUUAAGGAAGUAACAAGUAGCACCCAAUUUGGGGAAAGGCCCUUAUUAGGGGGAUGCUGAGGGAGCCACUGGGUCCCAUCCCAGGUGCAGCCCCCCUCCUAUAGGACCUGGCCCCACCCCCAGGCCCUCCUAUAGGAGCAGUAGCUGAACACCCAGCCCCGCCCCCAGGCCUGGCCCCUCCUAGAGGAGCAGUAGCAGGAAGCCGCCUAGCCCAGCCCCUCCGCAGCCCAGCCUCUCAGGAUACAGAUCACGCUUGUAAGAGCUGCUGAUGAACCGGCCACUCUCUGUCUUGAUCUUUUUCUUGUCCUCUUGGCCCGACUGCCCGACAAACCGCUUCUUCUUCCGGUCCCUGAGAGGGAGAUGGGAGGCUCUACUUUGAGGAACCCGUCCCCUCACGUAGGGAUCGACUGUAGUCAGUAGAGGAUUAAAGGAAAACAGCCGGCC